UCCCUCAUAGCUCAGUUGGUAAAGAAUCUGCCUGCAGUGCAGGAGACCUGGGUUCAAUACCUAGGUUGGGAA
This 72-nucleotide transfer RNA is filed under the name Ovis aries (sheep). It matches the Rfam family "tRNA". Rfam says of the family: Transfer RNA (tRNA) molecules are approximately 80 nucleotides in length. The record is from Rfam by way of RNAcentral. Lineage: Eukaryota; Metazoa; Chordata; Mammalia; Artiodactyla; Bovidae.